RNAcentral lists this ribosomal RNA (840 nucleotides) under uncultured archaeon. RNAcentral's name for it is "bacterial SSU rRNA". It matches the Rfam family "Archaeal small subunit ribosomal RNA", at positions 55 to 900 of the family's 1478-position model. The record is from RNAcentral.
GAGUCGAAUGUAGCAAUACAUGGCGUACUGCUCAGUAACACGUGGACAACCUACCCUCCGGACGGGUAUAAACCCGGGAAACUGGGUAUAAUCCCCGAUAGAUCUCGGUCGCUGGAAUGCCCCGAGAUCGAAAGCUCCGGCGCCAGAGGAUGGGUCUGCGGCCUAUCAGGUAGUAGUGGGUGUAGCGUACCUACUAGCCUACGACGGGUACGGGUUGUGAGAGCAAGAGCCCGGAGAUGGAUUCUGAGACACGAAUCCAGGCCCUACGGGGUGCAGCAGGCGCGAAAACUUUACAAUGCCGGCAACGGCGAUAAGGGGACCUCGAGUGCCAGGUUACAAAUCUGGCUGUCGUGAUGCCUAAAAAGCAUUGCAUAGCAAGGGCCGGGCAAGACCGGUGCCAGCCGCCGCGGUAACACCGGCGGCUCGAGUGGUAACCGUUAUUAUUGGGUCUAAAGGGUCUGUAGCCGGCCGGAUAAGUCUCUUGAGAAAUCCAGCAGCUCAACUGUUGGGCUUUCAGGAGAUACUGUUCGGCUCGAGGCCGGGAGAGGUGAGAGGUACUUCAGGGGUAGGGGUGAAAUCUUGUAAUCCUUGAAGGACCACCAGUGGCGAAGGCGUCUCACCAGAACGGACCUGACGGCAAGGGACGAAAGCUAGGGGCACGAACCGGAUUAGAUACCCGGGUAGUCCUAGCCGUAAACGAUACUCGCUAGGUGUCGGCCACGGUGCGACCGUUGUCGGUGCCGUAGGGAAGCCGUGAAGCGAGCCACCUGGGAAGUACGGCCGCAAGGCUGAAACUUAAAGGAAUUGGCGGGGGAGCACCACAACGGGUGGAGCGUAAAA